AUAUUGGACAAUGGGCGCAAGCCUGAUCCAGCAAUGCCGCGUGAGUGAAGAAGGCCUUAGGGUUGUAAAGCUCUUUCGCCCGCGACGAUGAUGACGGUAGCGGGAGAAGAAGACCCGGCUAAUUCCGUGCCAGCAGCCGCGGUAAUACGGAAGGGGCUAGCGUUGUUCGGAAUCACUGGGCGUAAAGCGCGCGUAGGCGGCCUUGCAAGUGCGGCGUGAAAGUCCUGGGCUCAACCUGGGGACGGCGCUGCGGACUGCAUGGCUGGAGUCCGGAAGAGGGUGGUGGAAUUCCGAGUGUAGAGGUGAAAUUCGUAGAUAUUCGGAGGAACACCGGUGGCGAAGGCGGCCACCUGGUCCGGUACUGACGCUGAAGCGCGAAAGCGUGGGGAGCAAAC
This 395-nucleotide ribosomal RNA is filed under the name uncultured bacterium. Its description in RNAcentral is "bacterial SSU rRNA". It matches the Rfam family "Bacterial small subunit ribosomal RNA", at positions 361 to 773 of the family's 1533-position model. The record is from RNAcentral.